Molecule: RNA transcript, 6003 nt
Organism: Hemiscyllium ocellatum (epaulette shark)
Lineage: Eukaryota; Metazoa; Chordata; Chondrichthyes; Orectolobiformes; Hemiscylliidae
Gene: dok1b
Gene name: docking protein 1b
Exons: 6
Source: RefSeq, a predicted model, not a curated record
AAUCGCUUCAGGGUGGGAGGAAGUGGAGGUAUUGAAACCAGCCACAAAAAUCCCAGCCAAAAAGCGGUCCAACAAAACUAGUUGGAGAGUGGAUGCUUUUUACUGGCCUGACGAUGCGGAAGUAGCAAAUGCACGGAAGUUUGGAGGAGAAACUUCAGAAUACGGGUUUGUUUUGAGAAGGGGGUCAGAGAGAGACGAGACUGGAAGAUGGACAAAGCCAUCAAAGAGGGACAGUUGUAUGUCUUGCUACUUAAAUUCGGCAAGAAACACUGGAAGAAGAAUUGGUUUGUCUUAUAUCCAGCCAGCCAGAAUGGGAUCUCCCGGUUGGAAUUCUAUGACAGCAAGGACGGGGCCAACUUGUCGGAGAAGCAGGCCACCAAAAAAAUGGACAAAAAGAUUAUCCGGCUGUCUGACUGCAUAAGCAUUGCGCACAUACCAAACGAAGUCUGUCCGAAGGAGUCCAUGUCUGCUUUCACCAUUGAAACAGCAGAGAAGCUGUACACCUUUGCUGCAGAGAAACAAACGAGUGCAGAUUGGGUCGAGAAACUCUGUGAAACUGCAUUUCCGACCCCUGAUCCCUGCUGUGGAGCAAACUCAAAACCUUUGGAGAUGGCAGAGAACAGUAUUUACUACUCUCGAUCUGAAGUGAAUGAGUUCUGGGUGACCGUGCAAAAGACAGAAGCAGCAGAGAGAUGUAACCUCCAUGGGACGUACAUUCUUAAAGCAGACAAGGAGAAGCUCACACUAAAAGAUACCAAAACUGAUCAAGUUCUCUUCAACUGGCCCUACAAGCUUCUGCGGCGGUAUGGAAGGGACAAGGUCAUGUUUUCAUUCGAGGCUGGGCGCAGAUGUGAUUCCGGUGCGGGGAACUUCACCUUUGAGACCAAGCAUGGCAAUGACAUCUUCCUGCUGGUGGAGAGCAGCAUCCUGGAGCAGAAGGCCCAGGCUGAGGGGAUCCGCCGAAGUCUCCCCCCGUCAGAGGCAGGAGACCACGCUGCCUUGAGCUCAGUGGAACGGAGCCCCGAAUGCUCAUCACUUGAUGCAUCUCUGGCCCUUUCCUCCGAGGUGUUGGUGGUGGUGGGCACCAGCAGUGGCGGUCCAGCGGGCAGCCCUGACCACAAAUCCGGUCUAACUGAGGGCCAGGCCGCACCCCACAGAAAGGAGCAGGCCCUGCCGCGGGGUGCGGAGGAGAAGGAGUUGUCCAAACUCCUCAAGAACCGGAGUCUGCCGGAGCCCCCGGCUGUGGGCCCUGUGACACCACCGAGGUCUCCCAAGAUGUCCGCGUCGAGCAGCGAUCCGGCCUCCGUCUACUCUGACCCCGUGGACGCCCUGACCAUCGGCAAGUGUGGCUCAGACUGCCUGUACUCCGAGCCAGUUGACAGCGUCCCGACGGGCAAGCCCCAGGAGCCUGCGGCAUGGAAGGGCUUCAAAGAAUGGAAAGCGCCAGGACAGAGGGCGGAGCCUCUGUACGCAGACAUUUACGAGCGGGUGAACCAGGAGUUCUCCCGGCUUGCCCCCGGCGCUGGCCCAGGGGAGGAGCAUAUCUAUGACGAGCCGGAGGGCCGGGCAUUCCAGCAGGCUCUGGAGGCCCGGGCCCCCUACCCCCUGCCCCCUUUCACUGCCAUCUACGACCAAGCCCAGCUAGCAGACUCGGCCGCUUGGAGAAGGAAGGGGUGUGUGGCAGGGCAUGCUGGGAAGGACGACCGCUCGGGCUCACCCCCACCGAGGGCCAUCGAGGCACCAGCUGCCAAACCAAAAAAGCCCAAGCCCUUGCCUGCACCGAAACCCACCAGCGGGCCGUUUGUAAAAGACAGGCGGGCAGACAUCAAGGAGUCGGGGAAGGAGCUAGUUAACCCUGAGCGGCCAGCGCUUAAAACCAAUUUCAACAGCUCGAAUAACUGCAUCUACAGUAAGGUUGUGAAGCCCAAGCGACUGGAGAAAGAAGUGUCAGUGGAUGAUGUCAACAUUAAGCCAGAGUCAAUUUACGAAGAUCUUGGGAACCUUUGAUAGAUUCAGUCAGCUUUUCUGGGUAUUUCUUUGUUUUGGCUCUUAAAACAAAUUGCAGUCCUUUGUUCACGUGUGUCUCUGUGUGUGCUGUUUCAAACAGGGAUACAAUAUUAUUACCUCAUCUUAUGAACAGCAAAGAUUAAACUAUGAUCAGUAUCAUUGGUAUUUCCUUGUGUUCAACUAAAUGGUGAAACUGAGAUAAAUUUUACAUACUGAGAUACAAAAGACUGCAGCUCUAGAAAAUGUUUUCAGAGUCAGGUACCAGAAUGGACAAAUUUCCUCUUCUCUAUAUUAAAUGUGAAAAGAGCCCUAAUGUGACGUCCCCUAGCUCAGUUCCUCUUGGGCUUGUAGCGGGAGAUCAACAGUCCAGUUUUCUUAGACACCCACUUGGCCCUGCUUCCUAGUUUUGGUGGACCACGUGGAACAAGGAUUUCUCAAUUCAUCCUGAGCGGAAACUUCAAACCGACCCCUGUUUACAAAUGAAACAAAAACUGAAGUUGCUGGAAAAGCUCAGCAGGUCUGGCAGCAUCUGUGGAGAGAAAACAAUUAAUGUUUUGGGUCUGAUGACCCUUCCUCAGAGCUGUUUACAAUGCUUCACCUGCCAUGUGGCGAGAUGUAGGAUGACUCUGUGUUAAGGGAUGGGUGAGAAGACGAGGAGAACAUACAAUAUUGGGGAAGCCUCUUGCAAAAGAUGGACAAGAUCAUGCCACAGAAGUAGAUGUUUCUUACACAUAAUAGAAGAGUGCCCAAAUGGUGGUACUGAAUCUGGAACACUUUUGUUUUUGUCACCAACUAUCUGUGGUGAAAGAGACCUCACCAAUAUAUGCUGUGAAGUUUACUUGUUUGAAUGAGAACUAUUAACUCUUCAUGAUGGACUGCUUGCCACACCUUCCUUUUAUAGUGGUCAUGUAGACACUUCUUUUAUUUCCUCGUUGUUAUUCCAGAGCCAUUAUUGUUUUCUGUUAUGUGUAUUGUGCUUUGAGGAUCUAUGGAAUCAUAUAGUCAUUCCGUAAAAUAUGUAUUGUUUUAUGAUCCUGCUUCACUGUAUGACUGCUCACGAAAACAAUUCAUUGCUGCAGGUAGGAGUAAAAACAAUAUGGGCAAGUGAUGGUUUUGUUCUUCUGUCUCUAAAUUCUGUUUCUUGCACCAGCGACUCCUUACCAAGUUGUUGCAGUUGGGAAAUUGGCUUGUGGGCACAGGAUCAAUAUCCCUCGAUUAUUGAGGGAGUUGAUGUUAUUUUCUUAACCACACAGUCUUCCUUUGGAGAAUAGUGCCAAGCGGCUGAAGGAGUUGCAGGUUGUUGGGCUAUAAUAUGAAUGCUCUUUCUGUGGCAAUGAGCACACAUUGACUAAAAGGUGGGACAUUUAGCCCUCGAGAUUGGAAGGGCGUCAUGAACUCUUGCAGUCCAUUUAACAAAGUGAAGAGGUCACUCAUUUCCACUCACUAGGUUUUCAUCUAGUAGGAACUGCACUCAGCCCCAGAACUGCAUCCAUUUGUCAGAGCUUUCUGGAGCAGUUCUCAGAGGUGGGAAUACAGACCUUGAGCCAAAUAUUUGCUGACUGAGGGAUUGGGAAGAGGGAGAUAAAAAUGGCAAUGUUCAUGUUUGUGACCAAAUAAACCUGUUGGAGGUUGACAGGAGCUGCCCACUGAUCCUGCUCCUGUAAAGUUAUAGGCCAAGCUUUGUAAUUACAAAAUACAUAUAGCAUAGAAAUGGACCAUUCAUUCAAUCAACUUAUUAUGCUCCAUGUAACCCUUUCCCUCCCAUCAAAUUAUCCUUUUAUUCCUUUCUACUCUUGUGUUUAUUUAACCUCCCCUUUGACUACUCCAUGGUUGCAUUCCAUAUUCUAACCAAACUUACUCAUGCCUAACGUUUUGUAGAUUUCUACCCAUCUUUGAACGAAUUGUCAGAACAUCAGAAGAGAAGUGUAGAACUGGCAAAUUUUGAAGUUCAGCCUUGAAUUCCAAAACUUACAGGUGAAGUAAAACUUGGGAGAGUAGUGAUGGAUAUCAGGUAGAUUGGUCAGGCAGAAUUAAUGCAGUAAUUAAUACAAAUUUAAUGCAGUAAAUAGAGAAGUUUUGGUUGAAAAAUAUGCAAUUUGGAAGGGGAUACAGGAACAUAGAGAGAGAGAGAGAGAAGCCUGGGGGGAAUUGACAUCAGUGAGAAAAGGUUAAAAGGGCAGAAAGAAUCCUGGACUUUACAAAUGGACAGGGAGUACAAAAGCAAGGAAGUUAUGGUGAACCCUUAGAAAACCCUGGCUGAACCUCAACUGCAGUGUUGGAGUAUCCUUGUUAAACGAGGUGAUCAAAGGGUAGGUGAGAAUGUUAGAUCAGCCAUGCACCUAAUGGUGCAAGAGACUUGAAGGGCUGAAUGGCCUACUCCUGGUUAACUUUUGGGAACUAUUUUGGGAAGAAUGUGAGGGCUAUAGAGAGGACAUGGAAAAUAUUCACGAGAAUGAUUCCAGGGAUGAGGAAUGUCCUUUUACAUGGAUAACAUGGAGAAGGUGGGGUCGCUAUCAUUGAAGCGUUCUGGCCUAAAUGUGACUGCACACCCACAGUAAUAUGGUUUACACCUACCUGCCUUCUGAAAUGCCCAAGAGCCACUCCGUUCAAUGAGAAUUAGAGAUAGGUAAUAAGUGCUGGGCUUGCCAGAAACACAAACAUCCCAUGUAAGAUUUUUAAAAAAAAUCUCUCUCUUCUAUUAAUGCACUUCUCCCAAACUACAUAUUUGACCAAACUUUUGGACACCUGUCAUAAUAUCUUCUCUUGCCAGUAUCAAAUUUUGGUUGAACGGCCCUGUGGAGUACCUUGGGGCCUUUUACUAAAGGUAGUGGUGCUGGGAAACAAAAUAUUCACCUUUUGGUCAUCUUGGACAGCUGAAACAGUUCCAGGUGUUUUGUGAUCUUUCCAGUAAAAGGUUUAAGAUUCAUUUGUCCAGUCAUUUGUGGAUAUAUGUUAUGAGUUUAUUUUGUCUGCUAUGGAAACCAUGGCUAGUUCCUAAGCAUGAGACAACAAAAUAAUUAAAGAUUUCCACUAUCAUUAAUUCUCUCUUGUUAAUCUUCACUGGCACCCUGUGCUGACAUUGCAUUUUCUUUUUUGCAAGGAAGAAAAUAAACUGCAAGAUUCUUGGGGAAAUACCAUUUUUUUUUUCAAACUUUUAAAUAUGAUUAAUCAAAGGUCAAUUUGCUUCCAAGGCAGUGCCUUGUAUUUAUCUAGUUAAUACCUGCAAAGGUUGAUCCCCAGCAGACUGUCAUCUUUGAGGAGAGAUGAUAAAGCCAUGGUUAUGUUUUCCAAUUUUAUUUUAUUAUCUUUCUCUUUUCCUGUCUGCCCUUGAGGGUGUUAGGUCGGGACUGCGGGUAAUUCAUUACUGGGGUGCCUUAGGUUGGGGUUAAACAAUGUGCUAUUAGUACUACAGCAGACAUUGUUUAACCCCAACCUAAGGCACCCCAGUAAUGAAUUACCCCAACACCCCAACAAGGGUUAAUGUGAUUGACGCUCCUGAUUCAAAGCAGAUAGUUUCUGGUAUUUAUUUUCAAUCAACAUAACUAAACCAGACCAUUGUCUCAUUGCUGUCUGUGGUAACUGCACCAUUCAAAUUGGUUUGCUCUAGUACCAUGAAGAUACUUCCAAAAAGUACUUCAGCUCUGAAAUGUUUUCUGAGAUGCUGAUGUUUUGGGAAGUGUUGUAUGUGUGCAAGUUCAAAAAGAAGAGGCUAAAAUUCUUGUUAAAGAAAGAACAUUUUUGGAUAGUUCAUUCCCAUAGUUGAUGCUGCAAGAGCUGGCUGUUUAAUAAUAAUAAUGUGAUAUAUUUAAAGCUUGUUAACUGAUCUGCUUAAGUUAUUUGAUAUCUGACAUUUUUAUACAGAUGUGUAAUAAUUUCUUGUAACAAAAAUACAUACUUUUAAAAUGUAAAUUGCUGAUUGACCAAUUAUAGUUAAAUGUAGUUUGUACAUCCAUCAUUUUAAAAUAGGUGACCAACAAGUACUUUGUGAUUAUCAGA